RNAcentral lists this ribosomal RNA (315 nucleotides) under uncultured bacterium. RNAcentral's name for it is "bacterial SSU rRNA". It matches the Rfam family "Bacterial small subunit ribosomal RNA", at positions 163 to 507 of the family's 1533-position model. The record is from RNAcentral.
CUAAUACCGCAUGAUACCCUGAGGGGUCAAAGGCGACACGUCCGCGUAGGAGGAGCCUGCGUCUGAUUAGGUAGUUGGUGGGGUAAAGGCCUACCAAGCCUGCGAUCAGUAGCUGGUCUGAGAGGAUGAUCAGCCACAUUGGGACUGAGACACGGCCCAAACUCCUACGGGAGGCAGCAGUGGGGAAUAUUGGACAAUGGGCGCAAGCCUGAUCCAGCAAUGCCGCGUGGGUGAAGAAGGUCUUCGGAUUGUAAAGCCCUUUUGGCAGGGACGAUGAUGACGGUACCUGCAGAAUAAGCUCCGGCUAACUUCGUG